CCUACGGGUGGCAGCAGUCGAGAAUCAUUCACAAUGGGGGAAACCCUGAUGGUGCGACGCCGCGUGGGGGAAUGAAGGUCUUCGGAUUGUAAACCCCUGUCAUGUGGGAGCAAAUUAAAAAGAUAGUACCACAAGAGGAAGAGACGGCUAACUCUGUGCCAGCAGCCGCGGUAAUACAGAGGUCUCAAGCGUUGUUCGGAAUCACUGGGCGUAAAGCGUGCGGAGGCUGUUUCGUAAGGCGUGUGUGAAAGGCGCGGGCUCAACCCGCGGACGGCACAUGAUACUGCGAGACUAGAGUAAGGGAGGGGGAACCGGAAUUCUCGGUGUAGCAGUGAAAUGCGUAGAUAUCGAGAGGAACACUCGUGGCGAAGGCGGGUUCCUGGACAUUAACUGACGCUGAGGCACGAAGGCCAGGGGAGCGAAAGGGAUUAGAUACCCUAGUAGUC
Molecule: ribosomal RNA, 446 nt
Filed under: uncultured bacterium
Lineage: Bacteria
Description: partial 16S ribosomal RNA
Rfam family: Bacterial small subunit ribosomal RNA
Source: RNAcentral